This 85-nucleotide transfer RNA is filed under the name Felis catus (domestic cat). It matches the Rfam family "tRNA". From Rfam's summary of the family: Transfer RNA (tRNA) molecules are approximately 80 nucleotides in length. Their secondary structure includes four short double-helical elements and three loops (D, anti-codon, and T loops). The record is from Rfam by way of RNAcentral. Lineage: Eukaryota; Metazoa; Chordata; Mammalia; Carnivora; Felidae.
GCCUGGGUGGCUCAGUCGGUUAAGCGUCUGACUUUGGCUCAGGUCAUGAUUUCAUGGUCCGUGAGUUCGAGCCCCACAUCAGGCU